Equus asinus (donkey) is the source of this 1948-nucleotide long non-coding RNA. NCBI's taxonomy places the organism in Eukaryota, Metazoa, Chordata, Mammalia, Perissodactyla, Equidae. The record is from Ensembl.
CUGAUCUGGAAGGGUUCAUGGUAUUCUCAAGGGCCACAGAGCAAGUUUACAGGUAGAGAGACAGAGAGUGCAGACUUGGGGCGCUGUGUUUAUUUGGGUCUGAGAAUAAGUAUAUAGGGUUUUGUGGGUUCACUUUUUAUUUGCUAAUUUAAAGCAUAAUAGUGGGAAUUAGGGCAUGGAAGGAAUAAAUGGGGUCACUCAAAUAGUCAGUUUUCUAGGUUACCCAAGACUUUUCUGAAAGAGGGAACUUUACAGGAAGGGGUGGCCUAAUUUCUUAUCUGGUUGUUUUGCUAGUAGUUAUGUCAUAUAACUGGUAAUAUUUAUAUUCAAGAUGAAUGUAUUUUGAAAUGAAUGCCUUGGGAAUCAAAUCUUAAUUACAAGCUCUUCCAUUACAAUCAAAGUUCUUAAUGUCAGGUGCUUACACUUCACUCCUCUACAGUAGAUGGAAUGUGAUUUCUAGCUCUUUAUGAGUGAAGUUAAAAUUCGUCCUUCAAACUGUGAACCAGCUUCUGAAAGGUCCUGUGCUGAGCUCUCACCACCCUGUUUCAGGCCUUAAAGAAGAGUAAACGGGACAUAGUAACAGUGUAACAGAAUUUGUCCUCCUGGGCCUCACUCAGGAUCCUGAAGGGCAAAAAAUUAUCGUGCCAUCUGUGAACAAAGACAGUUUUAUUUCUUCCUUCUCACCUGCAUAUCUUUGAUUCCCUUUCCUUGUCUUAUUGCAUGAGCUAUUAGUUGCAGUACAAUUUUGAAAAGCAGUGGUGGAAAAGGACAUCUUUAUCUUAUUCCUCAUCUUAGCGGCAGCCCAGGGCAGAGGAUUUGAGGAAGAUGGUGGAGUAAGAAGCACCAGAAAUUUGCCUUUCCACCUGGAGAAUAACUGCACUGGCGGGUUCUAGCUGAUGUAAUUUAUUGGAACUUUGGAGUCUAUCAAAGGCUUACAACUUCCAGGCAAGGCUUCAAUGGAGCUAGAUAUCAAAGAAUAAGACAUUCGAAAUCAACCACAUAUACUAGGGAAAUUGGGAAGUCACCUUGCAUGCCCAGGGGAAGGAUCAGGCUCAGAAAAGACCUGGGAAGACCUUAAGUGUACACCUCAGGCUGAUCCUUGGCACAGAGAGAGCCUACAACCAUAAAAAAGCAAAACAAUAGCAAUAGCAACUAAAACAAGAAGAACACCAAAAAUCCAUAAACCUGGGGAAGGGGAGAGAAUCUGAUUUCUAAAGUUACCAGAGUGUUAGAUUUAAAAGUCUGGUUUUCAAAAUAAAACCAUGAAGAAUACAAAGAAACAGGAAGGUAUGGCCCAUUCAAAUGAAAAAAAAAAUGAAUCAACAGAAGUUGUCCCCAAAAUACCUGAUGACUAGACAAAUACUUUAACACCACUGACUCAAAGAUGCUCAAGAAGUAAUAGAAGAUAUGGCAAGUUUCAAGAACAUUAUGUAUGAAUAAAAUGUAAAUAUGAAUAUGAAUAAAAUGGGAAUAUAAAUAAAGAGAUAGAAAACCUUUGUACCAACAAACCUCUACAAAGAAAUAGCAUAUUUUUAGAGCAUGUAUACAGAGAUUCAGAUUUAAGGACUUGCCAUUAUUAUAUAAAAUACAUCUUAAUAUCAAAUGUCAAAUAUCUCUGGAUUUAGCUUUUUUGUUUUUGUCUUGUAUGACCUUAUAAUAGUCUUUCAAAUUAUCCAUUGUAGUUGCUUGUUUCUAUAUUUCUCUUCAAGAAAAAUUGUUUUCUUUUGGGACAAAUUUUUGAAUUGGAAUUUUUAUUGUGGAUGUUAUCCCAUCUGAGUUGUAUUGAAAUUUUAGUAAAUUGAUUAGCAAUAAUUUGUAACAUUUUCAUUAAAUAUAUUUGCCAUAUACAAAGACCUAAGCUUUUUACUUCACUCCAGUACCCUCUUGGAUUUGAGAAUUUCAAAUAUACACUGAUUAAUUGAAAAUAAAGGUUUCUUGUUCACACAAC